Long non-coding RNA from Oncorhynchus masou masou (cherry salmon), 389 nucleotides. RefSeq lists it as uncharacterized. Lineage: Eukaryota; Metazoa; Chordata; Actinopteri; Salmoniformes; Salmonidae. The transcript has 3 exons. The record is from RefSeq and is a predicted model, not a curated record.
UCUUGUGUGUCAACACAAACUCGUCUGCCAGCACAGACGCUUCUGCCAGGGAGGAUACUUUCUGUUUGUUUAGGUAAACUACAAUGCGUUCGGGCAACAGCCAUCUUGCCAUCAAAAAGGCAAUCUUCAACAAACUGAUGUUGGUGAACAGACUACAGGGGAAGAGAGGAUCCUGGUGCAGGAGAUGAAGAGGCACUUGGGGAGCCUACAAAGAGCAGCGGGAACUCUGGAGGAACUGUCCCAACACCUGCAAGUUCAGAUGGACUGGAGUUGUCAGAGGGAGGGAGGAAUGGCCUUCUCUGCCACCUGAAGAGAAGAUUGAGUGAACUGACACAAGACCAAGUCAACACCAGCAAAACCUACCACAAUCUGAUUCUGGGAGAAGGGGA